UUUUGAUAUCGCAGGGUAACCCAUUUACGGGUGAUAUCCAGGAUGCCCGGGUAGGCAUUCCUAGACCGUAUGUCGGCUUAGCACUUGGGGGUGCACUACCGACCAAAACCCCUGCGGGAGUCUUCAGCCGCUUUAAUUGGAGGGUCCCGGAUCUGCAGGCAACAGGAUCCCUCCAGCGACAGGCUGGCCUCGGCGAAAAGACCAGACUUCUCCUCCAUGGGACUGUCCGGCUCACCUCUGAACAA
RNAcentral lists this unclassified non-coding RNA (245 nucleotides) under Melitaea cinxia (Glanville fritillary). Its description in RNAcentral is "misc RNA ENSMCXG00005020496.1". The record is from RNAcentral. Lineage: Eukaryota; Metazoa; Arthropoda; Insecta; Lepidoptera; Nymphalidae.